RNAcentral lists this transfer-messenger RNA (358 nucleotides) under Candidatus Aerophobus sp. It matches the Rfam family "transfer-messenger RNA". Rfam says of the family: Bacterial tmRNA, also known as 10Sa RNA or SsrA, is named for its dual tRNA and mRNA-like properties. Its role is to liberate the mRNA from a stalled ribosome. Lineage: Bacteria; Candidatus Aerophobota; Candidatus Aerophobia; Candidatus Aerophobales; Candidatus Aerophobaceae. The record is from RNAcentral.
GGGGGCGAAACGGUUUCGACAGGGACAGAAAAAUCGGAAUGGCAUAGCAAGGGUGGUCGGACACCUUGUAAAUCCAUCCGGCAACUAAACUUAAACGCCAAUCCGACGUUUGCUUUUAGCUACAACUAGUAGCUACGUCUCCUUACUUUUGCUCUACGGAGUAAAAGAGGCGUGAGAAAGUAGAGCUAGGUUUGUUUCCAGGCAGACGGGAAACAAAGCGAAUACUUGAGAGCUGCUAGUCUUUCCUUCAUCCCGUCUACAGGAGGGAGGAAAGAUGAAUUCAAAAUGUAGACUAAAUAUGUAGAUGUUCCGAUGGUUUUGUCUCUGGACGAGGGUUCGAUUCCCUCCGCCUCCACCA